Molecule: long non-coding RNA, 647 nt
Organism: Amphimedon queenslandica
Lineage: Eukaryota; Metazoa; Porifera; Demospongiae; Haplosclerida; Niphatidae
Exons: 2
Source: RefSeq, a predicted model, not a curated record
AUUAUGCUUUGUACUGUUCACAGUGAAGGCAAUGUCUCUGGCAUGUUUUUGUGCAUGAACACAUAUGUCAUGGAGCCAGCAUAUAUCAGGAGUAAUGUUGAAAAUAUCUUGAGUACAAGAGAGUGCCUUUUUUGACUACUGGUUUUUCCCACAUUCUUUUCUGCAUUUAUCAUCAACUGUUUCAAUAUUGGUGUAACAUUAUCUGUUGUGUAUAUAAGUGAUGUGUGUUCCUGAGACGAUGUUGAAAUAGAAGAUAUUAUAGAAUACAGCUUCUCAUUUUCUUUAACCAGGUGAGUGAUUUUAUCGAUUGGAUUAUAGAACUCUGUUAUUAGGGACUGGUCAAAAUCAGCAGCUGCAGCUUCUAAUUUCCUACGAUUCCGAGCAGAACGUGACCAAUAGGUAUUAGCCCCUCCUCUUUUAACAACAGAGGAGGGGCUACCGUAUUUUCUUGAGUAAAAGCCGCCCCCGAGUAGCUGCCUCCCUCAAAUAGAUGCCUCCCGGGGCCAAAGUAGUGAAGGAAAUUACCGCCACCUUCAAAUAGACGCCGCAUUAAAAUGGCCGUCUAGUCACAGUUGAGUCUGAGUUGACUGUAGCCACUUCAUCCUAUCGAUAAGUUUUAUCUUUCCAGGAAAGGUAUAGAUACAUGG